Molecule: long non-coding RNA, 199 nt
Filed under: Salvia miltiorrhiza (redroot sage)
Lineage: Eukaryota; Viridiplantae; Streptophyta; Magnoliopsida; Lamiales; Lamiaceae
Description: long non-coding RNA (SMIL_LNC011549)
Source: RNAcentral
UUUUGCCAACUUAUUGUCACACAAGAAUAAAUACGCCACAUCAAAUAUUGGCACGCCAUAUUAGCCUAGAAUUUGGCCGAAAUUUGGAUUAGUAGCAAAAUCAGAUAAAAUCAAAAGUUUAGUAAUUAUCACGCCACAGUUUAAAGUUUGUGUGCAAAACCAGAAUUGGAUGAAAGUUUAGUAUUUUAUGGGCAAUUAA